AAGGGGGUCCAGUCGAGGUGCUGCAUGGCUGUCGUCAGCUCGUGUCGUGAGAUGUUGGGUUAAGUCCCGCAACGAGCGCAACCCUUGUCCUGUGUUGCCAUGCCGAAAGGCGGAACUCGCAGGAGACCGCCAGCGAUAAGCUGGAGGAAGGUGGGGAUGACGUCAAGUCCUCAUGGCCUUUAUGUCCAGGGCUACACACGUGCUACAAUGGCCGGUACAAAGCGCAGCGAACUCGCGAGAGGGAGCCAAUCGCAAAAAACCGGUCUCAGUUCGGAUUGCAGGCUGCAACUCGCCUGCAUGAAGCUGGAAUCGCUAGUAAUGGCAGAUCAGCACGCUGCCGUGAAUACGUUCCCGGGCCUUGUACACACCGCCCGUCACAUCACGAAAGUGGAUUGUACUAGAAGUCUGCAGGCUGACCCGCAAGGGGAGCAGCGGCCCAAGGUAUGAUCCAUGAUUGGGGUGAAGUCGUAACAAGGUAAGCGUAGUGCU
This 489-nucleotide ribosomal RNA is filed under the name uncultured bacterium. Its description in RNAcentral is "bacterial SSU rRNA". It matches the Rfam family "Bacterial small subunit ribosomal RNA", at positions 1021 to 1509 of the family's 1533-position model. The record is from RNAcentral.